UAUUGGUCAAUGGUCGGGAGACUGAACCAGCCAAGCCGCGUGAGGGAGGAAGGUACAGAGUAUCGUAAACCUCUUUUGUCAGGGAACAAAGACUGGGACGCGUCCCCGGAUGAGUGUACCUGAAGAAAAAGCAUCGGCUAACUCCGUGCCAGCAGCCGCGGUAAUACGGAGGAUGCGAGCGUUAUCCGGAUUUAUUGGGUUUAAAGGGUGCGUAGGUGGUUUAUUAAGCCAGCGGUGAAAGUUUGUGGCUCAACCAUAAAAUUGCCGUUGAAACUGGUUAACUUGAGUAUAUUUGAGGUAGGCGGAAUGCGUGGUGUAGCGGUGAAAUGCAUAGAUAUCACGCAGAACUCCAAUUGCGAAGGCAGCUUACUAAACUAUAACUGACACUGAAGCACGAGAGCAUGGGUAGCGAACAGGA
This 418-nucleotide ribosomal RNA is filed under the name uncultured bacterium. RNAcentral's name for it is "bacterial SSU rRNA". It matches the Rfam family "Bacterial small subunit ribosomal RNA", at positions 362 to 777 of the family's 1533-position model. The record is from RNAcentral.